GUACAGAAACACACUCAACCGCCCCGAGGUACACACGUACAGAAACACACUCAACCGCCCCGAGGUACACACGUACAGAAACACACUCAACCGCCCCGAGGUACACACGUACAGAAACACACUCAACCGCCCCGAGGUACACAGGUACAGAAACACACUCAACCGCCCGAGGUACACAGGUACAGAAACACUCAACCGCCCGAGGUACACAGGUACAGAAACACUCAACCGCCCGAGGUACACAGGUACAGAAACACACUCAACCGCCCCGAGGUACACGGGUACAGAAACACUCAACCGCCCCGAGGUACACACGGGUACAGAAACGCACUCAACCGCCCGAGGUACACACGUACAGAAACGCACUCAACCGCCCCGAGGUACACAGGUACAGAAACGCACUCAACCGCCCGAGGUACACACGUACAGAAACGCCCCGAGGUACACACGUACAGAAACGCACUCAACCGCCCCGAGGUACACACGUACAGAAACGCACUCAACCGCCCGAGGUACACACGUACAGAAACGCACUCAACCGCCCCGAGGUAUACACGUACAGAAACGCACUCAACCGCCCCGAGGUAUAAGUACAGAAACGCACUCAACCGCCCCGAGGUAUAAGUACAGAAACGCACUCAACCGCCCGAGGUAUAAGUACAGAAACACACUCAACCGCCCCGAGGUAUAAGUACAGAAACACACUCAACCGCCCCGAGGUAUAAGCACAGUACACACUCAACCGCCCGAGGUAUAAGUACAGAAACGCACUCAACCGCCCCGAGGUAUAAGUACAGAAACGCACUCAACCGCCCGAGGUAUAAGUACAGAAACGCACUCAACCGCCCGAGGUACACGUACAGAAACGCACUCAACCGCCCCGAGGUAUAAGUACAGAAACACACUCAACCGCCCCGAGGUAUAAGUACAGAAACACACUCAACCGCCCCGAGGUACACGUACAGAAACGCACUCAACCGCCCCGAGGUAUAAGUACAGAAACACACUCAACCGCCCGAGGUAUAAGUACAGAAACACACUCAACCGCCCGAGGUACACGUACAGAAACACACUCAACCGCCCCGAGGUAUAAGUACAGAAACACACUCAACCGCCCCGAGGUAUAAGUACAGAAACACAC
Molecule: long non-coding RNA, 1141 nt
Organism: Oncorhynchus tshawytscha (Chinook salmon)
Lineage: Eukaryota; Metazoa; Chordata; Actinopteri; Salmoniformes; Salmonidae
Exons: 2
Source: RefSeq, a predicted model, not a curated record